CAACAAUGGCACUCAAAUUCUCUCAUUUUCUCAUGCCCUCUCUGUCACAUUCGUAGCUCGAUCUCCUUCUUCUGGGACUUAGCGUUCUGAGCAUGCGGUUUUUGCAACGGCCAUUUCGUGCCGCUUCGAUCUCAUCACCUUCUCUCCCCUCCCACCCCCCUUUUUGAUCCACACUUCGGGGCUUGCAAAUUUUUGACAUGUCAAAUGAGAGUGAAGCCAAAAUGUAAACAGCAAGUUUUUGCGUGUGCGGCGAUCUUAUUAAACAUAAAACUAACCACGACAGUAUUAUUUAGUUGUGGUGGAAGCCAAAAAAAUAGCUUGGAGCAUUCAAUAAAGCAGGAUGAAAUUUUUAACCUUCAAGCACGACGCUGACGCUGAGGUAAGGUGUGCUUGUGUUUAAUUUCGAUGAUUGUUUCAUUUUAGGAUGUGAUUUGUGCCAUAUAACCUUUUCUGACGGGGAUUAUUUAGUCGACAUCGUCUGCAGCUGUUAAGCGGUGCAGAGGAAGGGGCUCGCUACGACCCUUCCCACACCCGGACGCUUUUUCCGGGGAUGAAGGAAAUGUUCCCGGUUAUAUGCGCAAAAUCUAACGGUAACCCGUGUUGUGAACGAAUCGGCAUAUGCAGUGCCGGACACUGUGGAAAUUGUACACAACGGGACGAUGUCCAGGCACGACACAAGAGUACGAUUACAUGCAACUGAUCUGCUCAGCGUGCCACCUGAUGCUGGCGUUCGGCAAGACACAGAAGGAAAGGAUUUCGACGUGUGGAACAAGGAUGUGCUGAAUGCGUUUCUGAUCGAUAUCACGUGGAUCAUUCUACUGCGACUAUAAGGGAUACUUGCUGGAUUGUAUUCGUGACAGGGCCGGCCAGAAGGGUGUGGGCAAGUUGACGGAAAUUGUCGCAAUGUACCAUAGCGUUCCGGUGAUGCCAAAAGACGAAGCAGACUUCUCCAGCUACUUAUCCACGCCGAAGGAUGAA
Molecule: long non-coding RNA, 978 nt
Organism: Anopheles gambiae (African malaria mosquito)
Lineage: Eukaryota; Metazoa; Arthropoda; Insecta; Diptera; Culicidae
Exons: 3
Source: RefSeq, a predicted model, not a curated record